Molecule: long non-coding RNA, 490 nt
Filed under: Homo sapiens (human)
Lineage: Eukaryota; Metazoa; Chordata; Mammalia; Primates; Hominidae
Description: non-protein coding lnc-MPEG1-6:1
Source: RNAcentral
GUGGGGAGAUUUCAGGCACUUCCGAGGGGGCGGCAUCCCCAGCAGGUGGGAUAGGCCCGGUGACUAGGACAAAAUCACGAAGAAGCCGCGGAUGCAGGAAGAGUAAACUCCCUUGUCAUAAAUCGAUUCUCCAAACGUUCAUCAAUAUGUGGAGACGUUUAUGAUAGUGAUGAAGAAGAUGAUAUGGGCUCUAGGAAUAUGCAUCUCAAAGCUGAUGAUCGAAGAAGAUUGGAGAGGGUUUUCAAGGCAGCCUGCUGUUUAAGGACCUGCAUUCUGAGUAGAUGUGUAUUGGAAAAGGCGAUUACAGUCACAAAGGGGACAACUUUUAUGCAAUUGACAGAGGACUAUAUGAUGUAUAUAAACAGAUAGGGUUGAAAGGUGUGUUGGUAACUACAAAACACAUGGGAAUUUGAAGGAAGGAACUGGCCUUAAAUGCAUGUACAAUACACCAAGAGAAGCUAAAAUUACUGCUUCAUCUUCUGUGGGUUCU